GGCGUAGCUCAGUUGGUAGAGCCCCGGAUUGUGAUUCCGGUGGUCGUGGGUUCGAUCCCCAUCGUC
Molecule: transfer RNA, 66 nt
Filed under: Reinekea blandensis
Lineage: Bacteria; Pseudomonadati; Pseudomonadota; Gammaproteobacteria; Oceanospirillales; Saccharospirillaceae
Also listed under: 2 other names
Rfam family: tRNA
About the family: Transfer RNA (tRNA) molecules are approximately 80 nucleotides in length. Their secondary structure includes four short double-helical elements and three loops (D, anti-codon, and T loops).
Source: RNAcentral